GACUUCCCUGUCCAGGGAGUUAGUCCUAUAGCAGAUGUGUGUUAGCCCCGACUUCCCUUUCCAGGGAGUUAGUCCUAUUUCAGCUGUGUGUUAGCCCCGACUUCCCUGUCCAGGGAGUUAGUCCUAUAUCAGCUGUGUACAUGUGUAAGCCCCGACUUCCCUGUCCAGGGAGUUAGUCCUAUAUCAGCUGUGUGUUAGCCCCGCACUCCAUUCGCAGUGCCUAUAACUUGCUCCCGGAAAUGACCGAACCAGUCCGAUGAGUAGUUGGCGGAGCCUGUACAGUCCUUAUCUUAGAUUGUAUGGCUCAAGCGCACACAAUACUUAAAGUGGAGACAUAUUUUCAGUGCUUGCGGUUUGAAGAUUUAUUUUCUUUGCGUUUCGUGAUAAAACCAGUCAAGAUUUGGAUUCGGGGAUAACUCUUCUGCAUGGUUGCCCUCAGUCUGGCAGAACACGGAAAGUUUGAGAAUAAGAACGGUUUCAUGAAUACGGGGCCUAGGAAACAAACACUAAUUGGAAUUUGCUAUAUACAUUUUAAUGAAACAGAAUAAUAACAUAUAAAAAACGAAUUUUUGAGGUUCUUCAAUUUCUUUAUUUCCAAAUGCAACAGAUAGCAUAUAGGAGUUACAAUAUACAUGUACAUACAAGUAAAUAUUACAAUCCAAUUAUGUAAGAUAGCGGAGAACAUGACGGAGUAAAACACAAGAUGACAUCAUAGCAAUAUUGUCAACAUACAAAAGAAAAUAUAUAAUCAUUGUCAGUUGCACAAAGCUGGAACAUACACGAUUGCUCAGAUAUUAAGUAUAGACGUCCUUUUAGAAGUAGCCUGAAUUAGAUACUUACUAAGGUUUCUCAAUUGUUUUACAUUUUUGCAGGCGAAAAAUUGUAUUAAUUUAUAGACGGACGGACGACGGAAAUAAUAGGGUUUAAUAUAUUUGGUUCUAAGCUCCGAGUAAACUGGACACAACAAAAUAAAAUGGGUUUCAUCCUCGAUGUCAUUUCUAUUGCAAAGCGGACACCGCCGUUGAGCUCUAUGUAUACCAUUAUACCUGCCUGUUUCUAUACUUAGUGUAUGAGAUUGUAACCUAUACUUACUGAGGAUAUUUUUACACUUAUAAGUUAGUGACUUGGACUGCAUACCGUAAUGAUCUACGAUAUAUUUAUACAACCUACAUUUGGAGGAGUUUUCAAACAUUCCUCUCACUUCUUGGAUAAAAGUAUCUUGUACACGUUGGGUGUAUACAAAUACGAAAUGUUUUUCAUUAGAAACACACUGAGCCAACCAAUCAUCAUGAAAGCCAAUUCUACUUAAUUCAUGCUUGACUUGAUAUACAAAAUUAGUUUUACAAUUUGGUUUUUUAAGAUUUAAUUCGACAAGCUCAUCGUAACAAGAUCUCAAAAUACAAUUGUCAGUUUUCAAUAAUUUUAACCAGUACUUUAUAAUGGAUAUUUUACGCUUUAUCUGUAAAGGAAAUCGACAUAACUCAUAGAAAAACCAUAGAAUUAUUAACAGGCUUUUUUACUCCAAGAACUUCUUUCAGGAAAUUUGUGUUCUCGAAUGAAAAGAGUACCUCCCUAGCGCUUUCACCUCUUUAGAGGUUCAUCAGGGGAACUGUUUGUUUAAGUUGACACAACAACACAGCACAGAAAGUGAUAUAAACCGGCUUUAACUCUUUCAUAACACUACCUGCACAUCACGAUAGAUCCAACUUAUACACCGUGUGAUUAAUUCUGUUUGAAGCAAGUCCACGUUGGUACGCUCUGUCUGAAAGAUAUUUAUUUGGUUCUAUACGUGUAUUCGGGAGCUGAAAUUCGUUUAGUGACAAUUGCUGUUUCUUUGAUAGAUAUGUCACCGUUCUGGACCAAUCGGGAACCGUUGGCACUUUCCGUAUUCGUUUACGUAAAGUGCCGACGCUUCCCGAUUGUAUUCUGGAAUUAACGUGUCGAGACUUCAAUACAGAAAUCAAAUUUUCCCAGGAAAUCAACGACAUCAACUGUUUAGAAGUCCGUUAUCUAUCUAUAAAGUAUGUAUAGAGCAGCUUUGCCUGAUACACUGCAAAGAAGUGACCAUGUUAUAAGUAAACGGUUGUACCUACCUAUCUCAUGCAUCAGUACACAUGUGGACAUCGUGUAUGGUUUAGUAAAUGUGUUUAUUAUACCUUAUUGUGUAGAUAUCAUUUCACACGGUAUUACAAAUUAGAUAUGAUAGACACGAAAAUGUUUUAAUUUCAUAUAAAAACGAACGAUAAUAAUCUGUUUUAAGCCUGUGCUGGUGUUAUUUUCUAAUAUGCAAAUUACAGGAAUAUUGAACUCGUUCGAUCUGGACCUAAAAUAGAUAAACAUCUGGCAAGCUGUUGCACGUAAAAUAAUUGUUUGUGUGAAAGCAACAUUGGUCAUUCAUAAAUGCAAAAUAAAUACAGAUAUCGUAUUUGAAUUCAUUUCUAAUAUUAUUAAAUUUAAGUAUUUUCUAUCUUUGGCAAAACAAUAAAGGUCGAUGCCUUCAGCUUGAGAAUGAUUUAAAUUCUGUUUUCAAUUCAAUAUUUUAGUCAGGAGGUAAAUUUGUGCCGUAACCAGAUCGCACCCAACACAAGUGAAGGAACAAUCGGGAACCGUCGGUACUUUCCGUAAACGAGUAUUUUCUCGUUUACGGAAAGUGCCGACGGUUCCUGAUUGGGACUGAGACUGCUGGGAAGUUAUCAAAUUGGUUAGUAAAGCGUACAUAUCUCGUAUAUAUAUAAUUAUAUAACAUUUCAGAAGCAGACUUAUAUCGUGUAGUAUGUGAGUAAGUGGAUUUGUCAACAUCUUUGUGAUGUGUAUCAGUAGAGGGAUUCAAUAUAUAGCUAGCUGUUAUGCAGAUGAUCACUUAAGUCGCAACUAACUCAGAAAUAAGGUACAUACGUUACAGUGCUGAGAAUGUAUGACGGGUCUCGCGUGACUUCACCUGAAUGAUUACUAAUUUAGGGCCUAGUUUUCAUUAGAAAACUAAAAAAAUAUACGUAUAUUCUUGUCAAUUACAUUUUUAUAUACUAUAUUAUAACUGAUAAUACAAGUUUGAAUAUG
Molecule: long non-coding RNA, 3057 nt
Organism: Mizuhopecten yessoensis (Yesso scallop)
Lineage: Eukaryota; Metazoa; Mollusca; Bivalvia; Pectinida; Pectinidae
Exons: 2
Source: RefSeq, a predicted model, not a curated record